This 460-nucleotide ribosomal RNA is filed under the name uncultured bacterium. Its description in RNAcentral is "partial 16S ribosomal RNA". It matches the Rfam family "Bacterial small subunit ribosomal RNA", at positions 338 to 795 of the family's 1533-position model. The record is from RNAcentral.
CCUACGGGAGGCAGCAGUGAGGAAUAUUGGUCAAUGGACGAGAGUCUGAACCAGCCAAGUAGCGUGAAGGAUGACUGCCCUAUGGGUUGUAAACUUCUUUUAUAAAGGAAUAAAACGAGGCACGUGUGCCUUUUUGCAUGUACUUUAUGAAUAAGGAUCGGCUAACUCCGUGCCAGCAGCCGCGGUAAUACGGAGGGUCCGAGCGUUGUCCGGAUUUAGUGGGUUUAAAGGGAGCGUAGAUGGGUUGUUAAGUCAGUUGUGAAAGUUUGCGGCUCAACCGUAAAAUUGCAAUUGAUACUGGCAGUCUUGAGUACAGUUGAGGUAGGCGGAAUUCGUGGUGUAGCGGUGAAAUGCUUAGAUAUCACGAAGAACCCCGAUUGCGAAGGCAGCUUACUAAACUGUGACUGACAUUGAUGCUCGAAAGUGUGGGUAUCAAACAGGAUUAGAUACCCGGGUAGUC